AACGAACGCUGGCGGCGUGUUUAAGACAUGCAAGUCGCACGGGAUAAGACAUGUAGUAAUACUUGUUUUAUUUAGUGGCGCACGGGUGAGUAACACGUGAAUUACAUGCCCUAUAGUGGGGAAUAGCCCAGGGAAACUUGGAUUAAUACCCCAUGGUAUCGAAAGAUUAAAGGUGGCCGCAAGGCUGUCGCUAUAGGAUUGGUUCGCGCCCUAUCAGCUUGUUGGUGAGGUAACGGCUCACCAAGGCAAUGACGGGUACCUGGUCUGAGAGGACGAGAAGGCACACUGGAACUGAGACACGGUCCAGACACCUACGGGUGGAAGCAGUCGAGAAUAAUUCACAAUGGGGCAAACCUGAUGGUGCAACGCCGCGUGGAGGAUGACGGUCUUCGGAUUGUAAACUCCUGUCAUCUGGGAGAAAGACCUGACGGUAAAUAGCCGGCAGGGUUGAUAGUACCAGAAGAGGAAGGGACGGCUAACUUCGUGCCAGCAGCCGCCGCCG
Molecule: ribosomal RNA, 502 nt
Filed under: uncultured bacterium
Lineage: Bacteria
Description: partial 16S ribosomal RNA
Rfam family: Bacterial small subunit ribosomal RNA
Source: RNAcentral